This 497-nucleotide ribosomal RNA is filed under the name uncultured bacterium. RNAcentral's name for it is "partial 16S ribosomal RNA". It matches the Rfam family "Bacterial small subunit ribosomal RNA", at positions 28 to 507 of the family's 1533-position model. The record is from RNAcentral.
GAUGAACGCUGGCGGCGUGCCUAAUACAUGCAAGUCGAGCGAACGGACGAGAAGCUUGCUUCUCUGAUGUUAGCGGCGGACGGGUGAGUAACACGUGGAUAACCUACCUAUAAGACUGGGAUAACUUCGGGAAACCGGAUCUAAUACCGGAUAAUAUUUUGAACCGCAUGGUUCAAAAGUGAAAGACGGUCUUGCUGUCACUUAGAAAUGGAUCCGCGCUGCAUUAGCUAGUUGGUAAGGUAACGGCUUACCAAGGCAACGAUGCAUAGCCGACCUGAGAGGGUGAUCAGCCACACUGGAACUGAGACACGGUCCAGACUCCUACGGGAGGCAGCAGUAGGGAAUCUUCCGCAAUGGGCGAAAGCCUGACGGAGCAACGCCGCGUGAGUGAUGAAGGUCUUCGGAUCGUAAAACUCUGUUAUUAGGGAAGAACAUAUGUGUAAGUAACUGUGCACAUCUUGACGGUACCUAAUCAGAAAGCCACGGCUAACUACGUG